RNAcentral lists this ribosomal RNA (460 nucleotides) under uncultured bacterium. Its description in RNAcentral is "partial 16S ribosomal RNA". It matches the Rfam family "Bacterial small subunit ribosomal RNA", at positions 338 to 795 of the family's 1533-position model. The record is from RNAcentral.
CCUACGGGAGGCAGCAGUGAGGAAUAUUGGUCAAUGGGCGGGAGCCUGAACCAGCCAAGUCGCGUGAGGGAAGACGGUCCUAUGGAUUGUAAACCUCUUUAGGCGGGGAGCAAUGCCGGGCACGUGUGCCCGGAGGGAGAGUACCCGCAGAAUAAGCAUCGGCUAACUCCGUGCCAGCAGCCGCGGUAAUACGGAGGAUGUGAGCGUUAUCCGGAUUUAUUGGGUUUAAAGGGUGCGUAGGCGGGAAGACAAGUUGAAUGUUUAAACUAUCGGCUCAACCGAUAAUCGCGUUCAAAACUGUUUUUCUUGAGUGAAGUAGAGGCAGGCGGAAUUCCUAGUGUAGCGGUGAAAUGCGUAGAUAUUAGGAGGAACACCAGUGGCGAAGGCGGCCUGCUGGGCUUUAACUGACGCUGAGGCUCGAAAGCGUGGGUAGCAAACAGGAUUAGAUACCCUAGUAGUC